RNAcentral lists this ribosomal RNA (253 nucleotides) under uncultured bacterium. RNAcentral describes it as "partial 16S ribosomal RNA". It matches the Rfam family "Bacterial small subunit ribosomal RNA", at positions 524 to 776 of the family's 1533-position model. The record is from RNAcentral.
UACAGAGGUCCCAAGCGUUGUUCGGAUUCAUUGGGCGUAAAGGGUGCGUAGGCGGCGCGGUAAGUCGGGGGUGAAAUCUCGGAGCUUAACUCCGAAACUGCAUUCGAUACUGCCGUGCUUGAGGACUGGAGAGGAGACUGGAAUUUACGGUGUAGCGGUGAAAUGCGUAGAUAUCGUAAGGAAGACCAGUGGCGAAGGCGGGUCUCUGGACAGUUCCUGACGCUGAGGCGCGAAGGCCAGGGGAGCAAACGGG